Molecule: long non-coding RNA, 806 nt
Organism: Saccostrea cuccullata (small rock oyster)
Lineage: Eukaryota; Metazoa; Mollusca; Bivalvia; Ostreida; Ostreidae
Exons: 3
Source: RefSeq, a predicted model, not a curated record
CUCACUGUGUGUUACCGACACCGGAUAUUGCUACCAUCGAGGCGAGAGGUUCUCCACAUUUAAUCAGGACAGAGAUAUUACGGCUGUUUGCCUGCUUAUAUUGCAAAGAAACAGCGUUCUCCUUUGAAGAUAUCGUCACCCAAAUGUUAAUUCAUAAUACACAAGAAAUAAUCGGAAAAAAAUGUGUUACACACCCUCAAUUUUCGUAUUUUACUAGACAUCUGCCAGGAGCAAGCUGUAAAGAAUUUUAUUACAAUAAUAUAAACUAUGAUAAGGGGAAAAUAUAUAUACUUUUAUGCCUUCCCUAUUUUUUUGAGUGAAAUCAUUCCUUGGGACCACGUAUUUGAUUCCAAAGAAAUGACGAAAAGAACAUGCAGCAAGGAGAAAAUUUACAUUAUUGCCCUAGACGCAGCAGCCUAAGGUUACGGAGUUGCGCCAGUACGACAGAAUCAUAAAUGUGUUCAAAGCAAAAUACCGGCACAUAGACAGAUUAAAAUUGGACAAUUUCAGCGUUUCUUUGAAAUUCACUAAUAAAACGAAAAAAUAACUAUAGAAUAUACAUUUGCAAAAUAUUUUAUUUCUGUAUAAUGUGAAAAAAAAAUAAAAUUCAAUUAUAAAAAGAAAGGUUCACACAUCCUUGCAAAAUAGACAUUCAUGCGUGGAUCUAGAGGGGGUGGGGGUCAGGGGGCCCCGGAAUAUUUGCAGUUUUUAAAUGUGUACAUGUAUAUGAAAACAGUUGGUAUGAAAAGUUCUUGGUAGAAAGCUUUACAAGGUCAACAACAACCCACCCAUCCCCCAAACAAACC